This 453-nucleotide ribosomal RNA is filed under the name uncultured Porphyromonadaceae bacterium. RNAcentral describes it as "partial 16S ribosomal RNA". It matches the Rfam family "Bacterial small subunit ribosomal RNA", at positions 341 to 792 of the family's 1533-position model. Lineage: Bacteria; Pseudomonadati; Bacteroidota; Bacteroidia; Bacteroidales; Porphyromonadaceae. The record is from RNAcentral.
ACGGAAGGCAGCAGUGAGGAAUAUUGGUCAAUGGGCGGAAGCCUGAACCAGCCAAGUCGCGUGAAGGAUGAAGGUAUUAUGUAUUGUAAACUUCUUUAGACGUAGAGAAAUAAGGGGGUCGAGACCUCUGAUGCUAGUAUACGUAGAAUAAGGAUCGGCUAACUCCGUGCCAGCAGCCGCGGUAAUACGGAGGAUCCGAGCGUUAUCCGGAUUUAUUGGGUUUAAAGGGUGCGCAGGCGGUCUUUUAAGUCAGUGGUUAAAUCGUGGGGCUUAACUCCAUCCCGCCAUUGAUACUGGAGGACUUGAUUGCGGUUGAGGUUGGCGGAAUUCGCCGUGUAGCGGUGAAAUGCAUAGAUAUGGCGAAGAACUCCGAUUGCGUAGGCAGCUGACCAAGCCGUAAAUGACGCUCAUGCACGAAAGUGCGGGGAUCGAACAGGAUUAGAUACCCUGGUA